RNAcentral lists this ribosomal RNA (251 nucleotides) under uncultured prokaryote. RNAcentral's name for it is "partial 16S ribosomal RNA". It matches the Rfam family "Bacterial small subunit ribosomal RNA", at positions 355 to 621 of the family's 1533-position model. The record is from RNAcentral.
UGGGGAAUAUUGGGCAAUGGGGGCAACCCUGACCCAGCGACGCCGCGUGGGUGAAGAAUUCCCUCGGGAUGUAAAGCCCUGUUGUAUGGGAAGAGCAGAAGACGGUACCAUACGAGGAAGCCCCGGCAAACUACGUGCCAGCAGCCGCGGUAAUACGUGGGGGGCAAGCGUUGUCCGGAAUUACUGGGCGUAAAGCGCACGCAGGCUGAAUGAUAAGUCGGUAGUCAAAGGCGGAGGCUCAACCUUCGUUU